This 450-nucleotide ribosomal RNA is filed under the name uncultured Glomeromycotina. Its description in RNAcentral is "SSU rRNA". It matches the Rfam family "Eukaryotic small subunit ribosomal RNA", at positions 569 to 1021 of the family's 1831-position model. Lineage: Eukaryota; Fungi; Glomeromycota. The record is from RNAcentral.
AGCAGCCGCGGUAAUUCCAGCUCCAAUAGCGUAUAUUAAAGUUGUUGCAGUUAAAAAGCUCGUAGUUGAACUUCGGAAUUUAUUCAUUGGUCAGACUUAACUGUCUGUACUGGUGUUAUGAAUUCCUACCUUCUGAGGAAUUAUCAUGCCAUUUAGUUGGUGUGGUAGGGAAUCAGGACUGUUACUUUGAAAAAAUUAGAGUGUUUAAAGCAGGCUAACGUCUGAAUACAUUAGCAUGGAAUAAUAGAAUAGGACGGAUUGGUUCUAUUUUGUUGGUUUCUAGGAUCACCGUAAUGAUUAAUAGGGAUAGUUGGGGGCAUUAGUAUUCAAUUGUCAGAGGUGAAAUUCUUGGAUUUAUUGAAGACUAGCUACUGCGAAAGCAUUUGCCAAGGAUGUUUUCAUUAAUCAAGAACGAAAGUUAGGGGAUCGAAGACGAUCAGAUACCGUCGU